AGAUUGUUUCUAGUGGCGGACGGGUGAGUAACGCGUGGGUAACCUGCCUUAUACAGGGGGAUAACAGUCAGAAAUGACUGCUAAUACCGCAUAAGCGCACAGAGCUGCAUGGCUCGGUGUGAAAAACUCCGGUGGUAUAAGAUGGACCCGCGUUGGAUUAGCUAGUUGGUGAGGUAACGGCCCACCAAGGCGACGAUCAGUAGCCGGCCUGAGAGGGUGAACGGCCACAUUGGGACUGAGACACGGCCCAGACUCCUACGGGAGGCAGCAGUGGGGAAUAUUGCACAAUGGGGGAAACCCUGAUGCAGCGACGCCGCGUGAAGGAAGAAGUAUCUCGGUAUGUAAACUUCUAUCAGCAGGGAAGAAAAUGACGGUACCUGACUAAGAAGCCCCGGCUAACUACGUGCCAGCAGCCGCGGUAAUACGUAGGGGGCAAGCGUUAUCCGGAUUUACUGGGUGUAAAGGGAGCGUAGACGGAAGAGCAAGUCUGAUGUGAAAGGCUGGGGCUUAACCCCAGGACUGCAUUGGAAACUGUUUUUCUUGAGUGCCGGAGAGGUAAGCGGAAUUCCUAGUGUAGCGGUGAAAUGCGUAGAUAUUAGGAGGAACACCAGUGGCGAAGGCGGCUUACUGGAC
Molecule: ribosomal RNA, 633 nt
Filed under: uncultured Lachnospiraceae bacterium
Lineage: Bacteria; Bacillati; Bacillota; Clostridia; Lachnospirales; Lachnospiraceae
Description: bacterial SSU rRNA
Rfam family: Bacterial small subunit ribosomal RNA
Source: RNAcentral